Molecule: ribosomal RNA, 517 nt
Filed under: Cystiscus sp. MNHN-IM-2013-3692
Lineage: Eukaryota; Metazoa; Mollusca; Gastropoda; Neogastropoda; Cystiscidae
Description: partial 12S ribosomal RNA
Rfam family: Bacterial small subunit ribosomal RNA (bases 187-517)
Source: RNAcentral
CAUACUAGAGAGUCAAAUUAUAGGUUUUGGUAAGUGGAGAGAAGAGUAGAAGUUUAGGUACCUAUAAUAAAAGGUGAAAUUUAAUUAUAAGGUAAUACCAAUUAUAGGCUAUAAGAUAUACCCACUAAAUUUAUUAGGAAAACUGGGAUUAGAUACCCCAUUAUAGUAGACUUAAAUGAUUUGCCGGGGCAUUAUGAAUGUAAGUUUAAAACCCAAAGGACUUGGCGGUGCUUUAGACAAUUUAGGGGAAUCUGUUUUAGAAACGAUAAUCCGCGAAAAACCUCACCUCUCUUGGCAUUCAAUAUGUAUACCGUUGUCGUCAGGUAACUCUUAAGGAGCUAGUAGUUGGCGAGAAAAGGAUUAACUUUAGAUGUCAAAUCAAGGUGCAGUUAAUAGAGAGGGUAAAAUGGAUUACUAUUAUAUAAUGUAAUGGAAUUGGUUUUGGAAAGGCAAAGGAAAUAGGACUUAGGAGUAAGAUUAUAUAUAGAGAUGAUUUGAAGUUAGCUCUGGGGCGUGU